GGUUUUAUAGUUUAAAAAGAAUAUUAAGUUGCAAGCUUAAAGGUAUUAUAAAAUUAAGACUU
Molecule: transfer RNA, 62 nt
Filed under: Choroterpides apiculata (nomen nudum)
Lineage: Eukaryota; Metazoa; Arthropoda; Insecta; Diptera; Culicidae
Description: tRNA-Cys
Source: RNAcentral